GACGAACGCUGGCGGCGUGCCUAAUACAUGCAAGUAGAACGCUGAAGGAGGAGCUUGCUCUUCUGGAUGAGUUGCGAACGGGUGAGUAACGCGUAGGUAACCUGCCUGGUAGCGGGGGAUAACUAUUGGAAACGAUAGCUAAUACCGCAUAAGAGUAGAUGUUGCAUGACAUUUACUUAAAAGGUGCAAUUGCAUCACUACCAGAUGGACCUGCGUUGUAUUAGCUAGUUGGUGGGGUAACGGCUUACCAAGGCGACGAUACAUAGCCGACCUGAGAGGGUGAUCGGCCACACUGGGACUGAGACACGGCCCAGACUCCUACGGGAGGCAGCAGUAGGGAAUCUUCGGCAAUGGACGGAAGGCUGACCGAGCAACGCCGCGUGAGUGAAGAAGGGUUUCGGAUCGUAAAGCUCUGUUGUAAGAGAAGAACGAGUGUGAGAGUGGAAAGUUCACACUGUGACGGUAUCUUACCAGAAAGGGACGGCUAACUACGUG
RNAcentral lists this ribosomal RNA (495 nucleotides) under uncultured bacterium. RNAcentral's name for it is "partial 16S ribosomal RNA". It matches the Rfam family "Bacterial small subunit ribosomal RNA", at positions 28 to 507 of the family's 1533-position model. The record is from RNAcentral.